AUGGACAUAAAGAGAAUGACUUUAUAUCUGCCAAAACCCUCAUUGACUAGGUCCAUCCUUGGUGAGCUAAACCGAGAUAAAAACGAAAAUCACCGAUUAGAUAAGACGCGCGUCAAGCAUUUUGCAGUAACUCCCUAAUGUGCCGCAAUAGGGGACAAAAGCUUAUAUUAUACACGUGAGUGUAAUAUGAAGUUAGGUCCGUAAAUGCUCAGUAUCUAACUAAGCAGCAACUGCUCUGAUAACGCGCAAUACUCGUGACGUUGAAUAAAAUUAACGUGGAUUGCAUUGAUUAAUAUGUAAAAAUUCUCAUUGUUGGUUUGGCCCAUUCUUCUCUCACAUUCGAAGUAAUAAAUCCGUCGUUGGUGAGAUUAGAUGUCAUUUUCGUCUUCAGACUCGGAAGAAUCUCAACUAGUUGACUGGGAUUCGAAUUUCGACAAAAAAUUAUCAGAACUACGGAGUUCAACUUUCUGACGAUAACACCCACUCCGACGAGUCACCCUGAAAGAAAUCCACUCAGUGACAACAUCUACCACCAGUAAGAAUUCUGAAGACUUCGGGCCCGAAAACCAGCCCGCAUGAGUUUUUGAGACGGCGCCCGAAUUGCAGAUCGAAGCGUCCGUCGGAAUUCAGUCCGUUCCUGAGCUGAUUGCGUCUUCAAUUUGCAAGGCCACGCUGGUGGAGGACCCGGAUUUUGAGCAGGAAAAUCUGGGAGUGCCAAGGUUCUCGCUGUGAGCAACAACGUCGGAAAUUAUUUUGCGAAACAAACCAAAGUUCUUAAUAUGUCACGUGGAUAAGGUGGAGACCAGCAUUGAUACAGAAACUAAACACUUGGAGCUCACAAAAAUUAUUUCUGUGCAACAUAAAGACCCUGAGACGAACAAAACUUGUACCUUAAAAUUCGAGCUGGUUGGAUUGGGCCUCCACAGAGGUGGAAACGGUUCAGGGCACUACUAUAACUAUAGAAGACUAGUGAAUGAGCAGAGAUCCUGGUUAUGAUGACUUGUGCCUGGUCACCGACAAAGUCAUGGAGCUUGAUUCCUCUGAAAAUAUAUGUCUUGCUCUUUUCAAACUGCUCAAGCACGCUGAUGGACUCCGAACUUAGCAGUCGACCAGUAUUGUGAGCCACUACCGAGUCUAAUGAUUAUUCUGACGCGCCUCUCCCUUUUGAGCCCUUUUGAUGUACUAACCAGUGCGCAAAUUGAACAAAAAC
This is a long non-coding RNA of Neocloeon triangulifer, 1210 nucleotides long. RefSeq lists it as uncharacterized. The transcript has 6 exons. NCBI's taxonomy places the organism in Eukaryota, Metazoa, Arthropoda, Insecta, Ephemeroptera, Baetidae. The record is from RefSeq and is a predicted model, not a curated record.